UGUUAAUUCAGAGUUCAUGUAACUACAUUAUCAUUAAUACAUACGCCAAGACUGUCAUUGGUGUGUGUUCCGGUUUUUGUCUUCCCCCUGUUUCACACACACCUGCUCAUGAGCGCAUCUUCACCACCUGUGCCUCGUUCACCCUAAUUACCCCUUGUAUUUAACCUCGUGUCUCAUUCUCUCUCGUCACCAGUUAGUUGUAUCUUGUCGUCGCAUUCCAGGAGGAAUAGGAGCACUGCUCUCCCAGAAAUCUCUCAAGGAUGGUAAAUUACAUCCUUGUGCUUUUCUCUCCAAAAACUGACCCCAGCUGAGAGAAAUUAUGACAUUGGUGACCGUGAACUGCUGGCAGUCAAGGUGGCUUUGAUGGAGUGGAGGCACUGGCUCGAGGGGGCACAGAUUCCGUUUUUAGUAUGGACAGAUCACAAGUACCUUGAGUAUAUUCAAUCUGCUAAAAGAUUAAAUGUGAGGCAAGCUAGAUGGGCUCUGUUCUUCACUAGAUUAAAUUUCAUGUUAUCCUCCCGACCUGGUUCUAAAAAUGGUAAGCCAGAUCCUUUGUCACAUAUUUUCUGCGAAGAGAAUUCUUUGUCCGACCCUAAGACUAUUUUGCCCAAGUCAUGUUUCAUUUACGCUUUUGUUAUGGACGUUGAAACUGCAGUUAAAGAGGCUCUGAAAAACACUCUUAGCCCUGAAGAUUGCCCUGAAAACAGGCUUUAUGUGGUUCCGACCUUAAGGGGAGGAGUCAUCCACUGGGCUCACACGAACCGUACUGUAUGUCAUUGCCAAAACGCAAUCAGUGGUCGAACAGCGCUUUUGGUGGCCUAAUGUUAGGAGGGAUGUUAUAGAUUACGUCAAUGCUUGCCAGGUAUGUGCUGCUAACAAGCCCUCUCGUCAACGUCCUUCUGGGGAGUUGCGACCCCUGCCAAUACCACAACGUCCUUGGUCAGACAUUUCCAGACUUUGUGACAGGAUUACCGGCCUCGAAAGGAAAUACCACAAUUCUCACAGUUGUUGACAGGUUCUCUAAAAUGGCUCACUUCUUUGCACUCCCGAAACUCCCCUCAGCUAAAGAUACUGCAGAGUUAAUGAUUAAUCAGGUAUUCAGGUUCCAGGGUUUCCCCAAGAAUGUGGUGUCUGAUAGGGGUCCCCAAUUCAUUUCGCAAUUUUGGAAGGAGUUUUGCAAUCUCAUAGGUGCUACUGUCAGUCUGUCAUCUGGGUUUCACCCUGAAACCAACGGCCAAACCGAGAGGCUGAACCAGGACCUGGAGACUGGGCUCCGAUGUCUCUCUUCACAGGAGCCGCGAUCCUGGUCUCAGAAACUGCCCUAGAGUCCACAGUUCCAGCGGCAUUGACCUUGGUGAGAUGCUGCAGGAGGACCUGGGAGCGAGCCCGCCAGAUGCUGCUGUGACAGGGACAUUCCUACAAAGCCGCUGCUGACCGUCGGAGGACACCGGUCACGAACUACAAAGUGGGUCAGCGAGUUUGGCUCUCGACCAAACAUAUUCCACUGCGGGUGGAGUCCAAGAAGCUCGCUCCCAGGUUCGUUGGGCCCUUCCCCAUCACAAAGAUCAUCAACCCUGUCACCGUCGGAGGGGGAGGGGGUUUCAAUAUCUGACGGACUGGGAGGGCUACGGCCCCGAGGAACGUUCAUGGGUGCCGUCUGCGUUUAUCAUGGAUGACUCGCUCAUUCGGGACUUCCACGUUGCGCAUCCAGCGGCCCCGGGGCCGUCUGGGUCCGGCCGUUAAGGGGGGGGGGGGGGGUACUGUCCUGGGUGUGUGUUCCGGUUUUUGUCUUCCCCCUGUUUCACACACACCUGCUCCUGAGAGCACCUUCACCACCUGUGCCUCGUUCACCCUAAUUACCUAUUGUAUUUAACCUCGUGUCUCAUUCUGUCUCGUCGCCAGUUCGUUGUUCCUUGUCGUCGCGUUCCAGCAUUCCUUGUUUCUAUGUCAUAGACUCACAGUAAGACUUGACCCUGUUCCGAUUAUCGACCUCGCCUUUUUGCUUCAUGGUUUGGGAUACUGUUGCCUUUUGGAUUGCUUGCCUGUGUACCGACCUAUGCCCGUAUAUUAAACCUCUCUUUUUUUAAACUGUC
Molecule: long non-coding RNA, 2093 nt
Organism: Phyllopteryx taeniolatus (common seadragon)
Lineage: Eukaryota; Metazoa; Chordata; Actinopteri; Syngnathiformes; Syngnathidae
Exons: 2
Source: RefSeq, a predicted model, not a curated record